This 326-nucleotide unclassified non-coding RNA is filed under the name soil metagenome. RNAcentral describes it as "partial contains 5.8S ribosomal RNA, internal transcribed spacer 2, and large subunit ribosomal RNA". The stretch from base 1 to 120 matches the Rfam family "5.8S ribosomal RNA", at positions 35 to 154 of the family's 154-position model. The record is from RNAcentral.
GAUGAAGAACGUAGUGAAAUGCGAUAAGUACUGUGAAUUGCAGAAUUCAGUGAAUCAUCGAAUCUUUGAACGCACAUUGCGCCCCUUGGUAUUCCGAGGGGCAUGCCUGUUCGAGCGUCAUUAUCACCCUUCAAGCUCUGCUUGGUGUUGGGGCCUGCUGUUAGGCAGCCCUUAAAAUUAGUGGCAGUGACCAUUAGGCUCUAAGCGUAGUAAUUCUUCUCGCUAUAGCGUCUAGUGGUUCCGCGCCAAAACCCCCAAUUUUUUAUGAUUGACCUCGGAUCAGGUAGGGAUACCCGCUGAACUUAAGCAUAUCAAUAAGCGGAGGA